Molecule: small nucleolar RNA, 104 nt
Organism: Callithrix jacchus (white-tufted-ear marmoset)
Lineage: Eukaryota; Metazoa; Chordata; Mammalia; Primates; Cebidae
Source: Ensembl
AUCCUUCUGUAGUUUAUAAGCAUGAUGAAUUGAGUGUUCACCCACGUGUGUGAGAUGUGCUGGCCUUAAACUUUGUUAUGGCAUCACACAUUGCCCGUCUGAAA